GGAGAGGUGCCAGAGUGGUCGAAUGGGGCGGUCUCGAAAACCGUUGUACCGCAAGGUACCGUGGGUUCGAAUCCCACCCUCUCCGCCA
Molecule: transfer RNA, 88 nt
Filed under: Acidiferrobacter sp.
Lineage: Bacteria; Pseudomonadati; Pseudomonadota; Gammaproteobacteria; Acidiferrobacterales; Acidiferrobacteraceae
Also listed under: 7 other names
Description: tRNA-Ser
Rfam family: tRNA
About the family: Transfer RNA (tRNA) molecules are approximately 80 nucleotides in length. Their secondary structure includes four short double-helical elements and three loops (D, anti-codon, and T loops).
Source: RNAcentral